This 71-nucleotide microRNA precursor is filed under the name Tupaia belangeri chinensis (Chinese tree shrew). RNAcentral's name for it is "Tupaia chinensis (Chinese tree shrew) mir-374 microRNA precursor family". It matches the Rfam family "mir-374 microRNA precursor family". Lineage: Eukaryota; Metazoa; Chordata; Mammalia; Scandentia; Tupaiidae. The record is from Rfam by way of RNAcentral.
ACAUUGGCCAUUAUAAUACAACCUGAUAAGUGUUACAACACUUAUCAGAUUGUAUUGUCAUUGUCUGUGUA